Molecule: ribosomal RNA, 253 nt
Filed under: uncultured bacterium
Lineage: Bacteria
Description: partial 16S ribosomal RNA
Rfam family: Bacterial small subunit ribosomal RNA
Source: RNAcentral
UACGUAGGGUGCAAGCGUUGUCCGGAAUUAUUGGGCGUAAAGAGCUCGUAGGCGGUUUGUUGCGUCGGCUGUGAAAUCCCGAGGCUCAACCUCGGGUCUGCAGUCGAUACGAGCAAACUAGAGUGUUGCAGGGGAGACUGGAAUUCCAGGUGUAGCGGUGAAAUGCGUAGAUAUCUGGAGGAAUACCGGUGGCGAAGGCGGCAUCCUGGACCGGCAUUGACGCUGAACAGCGAAAGCUAGGGGAGCAAACGGG